Molecule: long non-coding RNA, 1611 nt
Organism: Sarcophilus harrisii (Tasmanian devil)
Lineage: Eukaryota; Metazoa; Chordata; Mammalia; Dasyuromorphia; Dasyuridae
Exons: 4
Source: RefSeq, a predicted model, not a curated record
GAUGGUUGAGUGACUUGCUCAAGCUCAUAUAGCCACUGUUGGAGACAAGAUUCCAUUCUAGCCCUUCUUUCCAAUCACUUGGAUCUGGAUCACCUUUCAAAUUCUAAACUGAAAUUUCUGAACAAAAAAAAAGCAAUGCUGUACAUUUGAUGACUUCUCCUUGGUCAGCUGCUAAUUUUGUACUCUCAAGGCUUAGCACAGUGCCUGGCACACAUUCCAAACUUGACCCCUGAAAGGAGAGGAAAAAGCCAGUCUCUUCACACCAUUUAUAAUUAUUUAAUUUCAAGACAAUUUCAAGACCCCAUCCCACCAAAGGCAUGGAUUUACCUUGUAACCCUGAUUGAUGCCAUUGAUGAACUGCUGAGGAGGAGGGUUCCACAGGAACUGGAUAGUGGUGGAGUUCAGAGCUUCUGUUUGCACAUUCUGUGGGGGAGCUGUGGGGACUGUUACAAGGCAGCCAUUGCAGACAGCAAAACAAAUGGUGAAAAAGAAAAUAAGAAAGAGAGAUGAAAUAAAAACUCUGGACUACCAUUCAUGAAAGUCACAGCAUGGAGAAAAGAGAACCAUGAUUUAUGCUUCUGGAAGCUUACAGUGGCAUUCAAGAGAAAGGUGAAAAAUAACCCCCCAGAAGGGUUAUCUAGAAUUGUGUGACUCUCUAGAAAUGAAACUGACAAAUACUCUAUACAGAUUCAAGACAUGUGGACAUACCAUCCUUUGGAUGGUGGCUAUAUUUACCUAACUUCUUGAUGCUGCUGGCUUUGCCUUAGGGGUUACAAUGUGUUCUGAAGUUCCUUACAUUUCUAUUGUUUAGAACUUAUUUUCUUACCAGUAAAUUUAUGCCUUGAUUUUAUCUGAAGGCUAUACAACUGCUUUGUUCUGAAGGCCAUACAACUGCUUUGUUUAGAAGACCAAAGGAAAAACUUUCCCAGUGUCAAUUUUUAACUUUCAAGGGACUUUCUAAUAUACAUUUAAACAGGUAUUUUCCAAAAGAAAAAAAGUUAACAGCUAAAAAAUACAUGGUCUUUUCUUUACCAUAAAAUUCUGCAAAAUUAAUCACUUGCAAAUCUGAUCAUCAUUCUUUUAAUGAUAUAAAUAGGCAAAAAAGAGACAGCAAAACACAAUGGGAAGCAAAAUUCAGAGAUUUGGGUUCCAGUCCCAGCUCUAUCAACUGGCUAGCUUUGUGAUUGUAGGUAAUUCAUUUCCCCCCUCAUUUUAAGGACCUUUAAUUUUUGUCUUUGUAUCUCCACCAAUCAGUAAAAAUAGCAAGUACUUAAUAAAUGUUUGUUAAUUAACUGACUGAUUAAAGUUAAGUUACUCUUUGCUUUAAAAAGUAAAUCUUCAGACAUGAAUUCCAACCCAUUCCCACAUAGUAGCACCUUCUAAAAAUUAAAAUAAACUGAUGUGAUCUUUAAGAGCCCAGGAUCACCUCGAAAUUGUAUUGAUAUCUGAAUAGAAUUAUAAUGAAAGAGUAGAUAUAAGUUAGAUUGAUAAUAGGUUGUUGUUGUUGAUAAUAGGUUGUUAUUUUCAGUUAAGUCUGAAUUUUAUGUCCCCAUUUGGGGUUUUCUUACCAAGAGUGAUUUACCAUUUUUUUCCCCAUCUCAUAGAUGAGGA